RNAcentral lists this unclassified non-coding RNA (363 nucleotides) under uncultured bacterium. RNAcentral's name for it is "contains 16S-23S intergenic spacer region". The record is from RNAcentral.
UCCCUGUUGCCAGGGCAGUCUAGCUAGAAAAAUACAACUAACUAAAAGGGUUGCGCUCGUUGAUGGACUUAACCAAACAUCUCACGACACGAGCUGACGACGGCCAUGCAACACCUGUCACUUGGUUCAAUAAAGCACUUUCUCCUUUCGGAGAAAUUCCAAGGAUGUCAAGCCUGGGUAAGGUUCUUCGCUUACCAUCGAAUUAAACAACACGCUCCACCGCUUGUGCGGGUCCCCGUCAAUUCCUUUAUGUUUUAGUCUUGCGACCGUACUCCACAGGCGGGAUGCUUAACGCGUUAGCUUCGCUACUAGAGGGGUCGAUACCUCUAACAGCUAGCAUCCAUAGUUUACGGCGUGGACUAC